UGGGGAAUUUUGGACAAUGGGCGAAAGCCUGAUCCAGCAAUGCCGCGUGUGUGAAGAAGGCCUUCGGGUUGUAAAGCACUUUUGUCCGGAAAGAAAUCCUUGGCUCUAAUACAGUCGGGGGAUGACGGUACCGGAAGAAUAAGCACCGGCUAACUACGUGCCAGCAGCCGCGGUAAUACGUAGGGUGCAAGCGUUAAUCGGAAUUACUGGGCGUAAAGCGUGCGCAGGCGGUUUGCUAAGACCGAUGUGAAAUCCCCGGGCUCAACCUGGGAACUGCAUUGGUGACUGGCAGGCUAGAGUAUGGCAGAGGGGGGUAGAAUUCCACGUGUAGCAGUGAAAUGCGUAGAGAUGUGGAGGAAUACCGAUGGCGAAGGCAGCCCCCUGGGCCAAUACUGACGCUCAUGCACGAAAGCGUGGGGAGCAAACAGGAUUAGAUACCCUGGUAGUCCACGCCCUAAACGAUGUCAACUAGUUGUUGGGGAUUCAUUUCCUUAGUAACGUAGCUAACGCGUGAAGUUGACCGCCUGGGGAGUACGUCGCAAGAUUAAAACUCAAAUGAAUUG
RNAcentral lists this ribosomal RNA (563 nucleotides) under uncultured bacterium. RNAcentral's name for it is "partial 16S ribosomal RNA". It matches the Rfam family "Bacterial small subunit ribosomal RNA", at positions 355 to 912 of the family's 1533-position model. The record is from RNAcentral.